ACUGCAACAAUACAGCACAAUGAAAUUCAAUGACAGUAUGACUUAAGAUCAUUAUCAAAAUGAAACUCUAUAAUAUUAAGAUCAAUAACUAAAGUUUCAUGUGUUUGCUUUUUGUUGUUGUUUUUUUUGUUUUUUUUAUUAUUAUUAUUAUUAUCUAGAGUACUAUGCAGAGUAUUAGAAAUGAACGAAAUAAAGUAUUAAUAAGAUUUAGAAAUUUGUACUACGAACAGUCAUUGAGAAAAACACGUGUACUGGAUAAAAAGUUUAAAAGUCUGGGAGAGCACUUUUUUUAGAAGUGGGUUUUUAACAGUUUUAAAAAAAGUUUAUGUUUUUGGCAGUUGUAAUACUGAUUUUUAGAAAGAUUGUGAUCACUGGCCUUUUUUGUAAUUGGCAUGCGCUUCUCGGAAAAGGAAACAAAACUGAAAAUAACUAUAAAUAGUUCAUCAAAUUUUUUUUCUCUGUCACAUUCUAUUCUUAAACAUGAACUCUAUGUUUAAAUCUGUGUUGCAUCAUUAAAAGAAAUUGUGUCGCGCCUUUGUGAGAUUAUUAUACAAAUACACCAAAAUUAAUCCAAGUGAUUGCAUAUGUGUUGGUCAGCUUAGCGAUGACGACGCACUCCCUUCUUGGGAAUCGAGGUUAAUAUACUUUAAUUGUGUUAUUGAAAAUUAAAAGACAACGAACGAUAGAGCGAGACACAAGAUUGUCCGUCGUCUACACUACUACAAGUUCACACUGUAAAUUCCAAUAGUCUACAUGUUCAGCCGAAACAUCUUAAACGUAUAGAUACGUUAUUGCGCCGUCUAUGCACACACCCUUUCAUGACAGACGUUCAGAAUUAAAAUGAUGCUGCCGUUGGGGAGAAGAUUCGACAUGAUAUAUAUAUUUCUCUUGCUUUUAAUCAUGCUACCAACUGGAUUAUUUUCCCCAAUAUUUUCACGUAUUGAAAACAAUUCAAAUUCUAAAUUAGUUGUUUAUAUGUCCCAACCGAAUUGUGAUCAUGUUAGAAACGAAACAAUGACAUACUGUUUUCGGGAUUUACGAAGGAAGAAUAAAAGAAAUAGAGAUAAAUGUCUGCGAAAGGCGAACGAGGAACAAAAGCAGUGCAUUGAGAGAAUGUCAUUGAAAAAAUGACAUUUGGUUGCUUUCAAUUAAUUCUUUACUUGUAAGAAAGAUGGUACCCGUGUGUUACAGAUUUCAAAUGAAUGUGGUCUAAUAUGCUUCAUCUUAUCAUUAUUCCUCGUUCGAAACAUGGGAAAAUGAUUCACUUGUGCAAUAUCAAUGAGAAGAUGCAGGGAGAUGAUGAAGACUUAACGAAACCAUAUACACAGCAACACGUAGAGAGUAUGAAGAAAUAUUACAAGGGAGAUAACACCAAAUUACGAAGAAAACGCUCUCGGAGAAAGCAAUAUUAUUUCUAAUCCAUGUUUUCCAAGUUUAAUUUUCUCGUAUUGUUAUUUCCAGUCAGUAGCAUUGCUAUUUUUGAUAAUUAUUUUUGGGUGAAAUCAGGACAGAUGGGUGAAAUCCUGUGAAAUUAGAUGUUUUAUAUCUGCUGAUUUCUACCUGUUUGAACUAGUCAGUAAUAUUGUUAUUCGUGUAAAUUAUUUAUAGGGGGAUCAGGACAGAUGUGUUGUUAACUGGUGCAAUGAUAUGACAAUAUUUUAUUAUUUGUUGAUUCCCCCGCCUUUGUUUGUGAACCUCUAUUUUCGUCAUUUGUUUCCUUUAAUAAAUGAGAGAUUUAAUCUUCA
Molecule: long non-coding RNA, 1745 nt
Organism: Ostrea edulis (European flat oyster)
Lineage: Eukaryota; Metazoa; Mollusca; Bivalvia; Ostreida; Ostreidae
Exons: 3
Source: RefSeq, a predicted model, not a curated record